UACAGAGAGUGCAAGCGUUAAUCGGAAUUAUUGGGCGUAAAGGGUGUGUAGGUUGUUAAAAAAGUUAGAUGUGAAAUCCCUGGGCGUAACCUUGGAAUUGCAUUUAAUACUUUUUAUCUAGAGUAUUGUAGGGGGAAGUGGAAUUUCCGGUGUAGCGGUGAAAUGCGUAGAUAUCGGAAGGAACACCAGUGGCGAAGGCGACUUCCUGGACAAAUACUGACACUGAAACACGAAAGCGUGGGGAGCAAACAGGAUUAGAUACUCUGGUAGUCCACGCUGUAAACGAUGAAAACUUGCUGUUAGGCAUUUAUAUAUGUUUAGUGGCGUAGCUAACGCGUUAAGUUUUCCGCCUGGGGAGUACGAUCGCAAGGUUA
RNAcentral lists this ribosomal RNA (374 nucleotides) under uncultured prokaryote. RNAcentral describes it as "bacterial SSU rRNA". It matches the Rfam family "Bacterial small subunit ribosomal RNA", at positions 524 to 896 of the family's 1533-position model. The record is from RNAcentral.